Non-coding RNA from Ornithorhynchus anatinus (platypus), 83 nucleotides. The record is from the annotation of a RefSeq genome assembly. NCBI's taxonomy places the organism in Eukaryota, Metazoa, Chordata, Mammalia, Monotremata, Ornithorhynchidae.
AUCAGUAUGGCCGAGAGGUCUAAGGCACUGGGUUCAGGUCACAGUCUUCCCUGGAGGCGUGGGUUCGAAUCCCACUUCUGACA